Long non-coding RNA from Aethina tumida (small hive beetle), 376 nucleotides. RefSeq lists it as uncharacterized. NCBI's taxonomy places the organism in Eukaryota, Metazoa, Arthropoda, Insecta, Coleoptera, Nitidulidae. The record is from RefSeq and is a predicted model, not a curated record. The transcript has 2 exons.
GCAAAUGAUACAAUUUUUAUAUAUAAACGAUAGCAAUUCGAACUAGAAUCAGUUUGUUUUAUACCUCACAGAACAGACAGUUACAUUAAAAUGUUUAAAUCUCUGUUGAUCUUUGCCCUUUUGGCCGUUGCUUUCGUAGCAGCUAAACCUGAUCCAUCUCCAAUUGUGUACUCAUCUUACUCAUCUGCAGCGUAUCCAUAUGCGUAUUCUGCCCCAUAUGCUGGAUACUCUUUCGCAGGUUUUCCAUCCCUUGGCUAUGGUGCUGGACUGUACGGAUAUUAUUAAAUCAACAAAAAGUUACCAAUCUGUAAAUGUUUCCUAUACAUUUGAUUUAUAUUUCAUUGGAUGUUGAAUAAAUUCUAUUUGUAAAAAAUUA